Molecule: ribosomal RNA, 329 nt
Filed under: uncultured eukaryote
Lineage: Eukaryota
Description: partial 18S ribosomal RNA
Rfam family: Eukaryotic small subunit ribosomal RNA
Source: RNAcentral
CCCUUAGAUGUUCUGGGCCGCACGCGCGCUACACUGAUGCAUUCAACGAGUUUUUCCUGGUCCGAGAGGAAUGGGUAACCUUUUGAAAGUGCAUCGUGCUAGGGAUAGACUAUUGCAAUUAUUGGUCUUCAACGAGGAAUUCCUAGUAGACGUAGUUCAUCAGACUGCAUCGAUUACGUCCCUGCCCUUUGUACACACCGCCCGUCGCUACUACCGAUUGAAUGGUUUAGUGAGGACUCCUGAUUGGCGCCGCCGCCCCGGCAACGGAGCAGCGGACUGCCGAAAAGUUGUUCAAACUUGAUCAUUUAGAGGAAGUAAAAGUCGUAACA